Transfer RNA from Aspergillus glaucus CBS 516.65, 72 nucleotides. It matches the Rfam family "tRNA". From Rfam's summary of the family: Transfer RNA (tRNA) molecules are approximately 80 nucleotides in length. Their secondary structure includes four short double-helical elements and three loops (D, anti-codon, and T loops). The record is from Rfam. Lineage: Eukaryota; Fungi; Ascomycota; Eurotiomycetes; Eurotiales; Aspergillaceae.
GCGUUAGUGGUGUAGCGGCUAGCAUUAGUGCCUUCCAAGCACUAGAUCUGGGUUCGACUCCCAGCUAACGCA